RNAcentral lists this long non-coding RNA (951 nucleotides) under Phasianus colchicus (ring-necked pheasant). Its description in RNAcentral is "lncRNA (ENSPCLG00000016651.1)". The record is from RNAcentral. Lineage: Eukaryota; Metazoa; Chordata; Aves; Galliformes; Phasianidae.
GGACAUCAUGGGGACAUCCUUGGGGACAUCCAUGGGGACAUCCAUUGGGACACUAUGGGGACACCGAGGGAUAUCGUGGAGAUACUCAUGGGGACACCAGGGGACACCAUGGGGACACCAUGUGGACAUCCUUGGGGACAUUAUAUGGACAUCAUGGGGACAUCCAUUGGGACACCAUUGGGACACCAUGGGGACAUCCAUUGGGACACCAUGGGGACAUCAUGGGGAUGUCCAUUGGGAUGUCCAUUGGGACACCAUGGGGACACUAUGGGGACACCAGGGGACACCAUGGGGACAUCAUGGGGACAUCCAUUGGGACACCAUGGGGACACCAUGGGGACAUCAUGGGGACAUCCAUUGGGACACCAUGGGGACAUCCAUUGGGAAGUCCAUUGGGACACCAUGGGGACACCAUGGGGACAUCCUUUGGGACAUCCAUGGAGACCCCAUGGGGACAUCCAUUGGGACACCAUGGGGACACCAUGAGGACACCAUGGGGACACCGACUGGGACACCACAGGGACACCGCUUGGUCACCCAUUGGGACACCCCUGGGAUUGGGGACACGGGGCCAAAGAUGCCACGCCAAACCAUCCCCACCCCACGUCCUCCCACUGCAAGCCGCUCCCCCAUUUUAAUGACCCCUAAUUAAGCAUAAUUAGGCGCUAACGAGCCCCACCCGUCUCCACGUCCUGCACAUAGAAGUGCAGCUCGUCGGUGACCUCGGUGACAAAGACGGGCCGGUAGGACGCCGAGCGUUCCUGCUCCUCUGCCACCGCCACCACCUCCUCCGACGGAGCCUCCUCGUAGUGUGCCCACACCUGGGGACAGCGUGGGGACAUGGGGUGGCAUCAGGGCGGGGACAUUGGUUGGGACGGGAUGGUGGCACUGGGAUGGGGACAGCCGUGGGGAUGAGGUGGUGGCAUCGGAAUGGGGACAUGGGGGUGGCAU